Molecule: long non-coding RNA, 1603 nt
Filed under: Anser brachyrhynchus (Pink-footed goose)
Lineage: Eukaryota; Metazoa; Chordata; Aves; Anseriformes; Anatidae
Description: lncRNA (ENSABRG00000001392.1)
Source: RNAcentral
AUGAGGGACUGUCUGUGGUGGAAGGGGAUGUGGGGGCUCCUUCGGGCCUGGCCUGAUGUAGCAGCCAAGGCUGAAAGCAAAAUUCUUGCUCCCAUCGCCCUCCGGGACAGCAUGCACAAACUCUUGCUAUGGCCUGGGCUGUCCUCCCACUCCUUUCAUUCUCCUUGGAAAAUGUUCACGUCACAUUUGUUCAGGAUCCAAACACUUUUUUUUUAUCCGCAAGCACUGCCAGUUCACUCCUGCACCCAAAAAUCAAACCGUGUCCUGUCUGCUUCAUAUAUCAUCGCUGUCCGUGUCGGUGGGAAACCAGAGCCCAGCUGGAGCGGUUAUGGAUGUCGUGUGAGCCCAGAUGAGCAUCUGCUGCUGUGCCCGAAACCGAACCGGUGCAGUGAAUUUCCCCACGUGCCACUUCACAUCCUGCGUCUUGAGGGGGAGCUGAGAGCACAUGUACGAACCCCUGGGUUUUCUGCGAUCCGUUCAGGACCACAACCUCCCAACAGCUACAUCCUCCCUGCGGCUACUGAUGCAUCCCUCCCAACUUCAGCUUCAUCUGGAUCCCUGCAAAACUUCUGGGGCAAUCGGGUGCCUCGCUUUGAAGUUUAAAGGGUUCUUUCACCUUUGCUGUUGCUUUGAUUUUGUUAUUUACUCUUUUGACAUGUGCUUCCUAUAAACCCACCAUCCCAGAGCAGCUCCUGCACUUGCACUAACGAGAAACAUCAUCUGCAGCUGCUCCGCUCCAAGGAAAUUCCAUUUGGGAGCUGCGCUGCCUGCAGCUGGCUCCUACGGCUUCGAUGCUGCUCAGAUCUCAUGCUUGAGGGCUUAAGGUGAUCAUUGCUAGAAUCGGCAAGGGAGAGCCUGCGUAGGAAGAGCCUUGAACAAUCACCCAGGUGUGCUGCUGUUAUUUACUGUUUGUGCUGCUGUAGCCCCCUCGUCCCCGCCGAGACCGGCCCUGGCUAUUAGACACUGAAUGCGUGUGGGGAAGGGACAUCUCCCCGUUCUUCCCGUCCUGCUGAGCAAACGAGGCAGUGGUUACACGCACGAUGCAGAGAAAAGGAAGCGAUUUGCUUGUGCUUGUGUGGGAAAGGCUCUGGCAGGGCCGGGAGAGCCACUUGUCCACGGUGCCACUGCAGUGCAUCAGAUGGCAUCAAGUCCCCAGUUGUGAGUGACGGUACCAGAUCCCCCGGGAGAGGCAGGACCAUGCCCCUUGGGGGACAGGCUCCUGCGUCACACGGGCUGUAACCAGAUGAUGAAGGACAAUUAUUGCUCCUGCAUGUAGCUGUAACAAAGUUGGGUCCCAGUAACUCUCACCCAAAGCACGCCGAGGAGGAAUCUGCUAUCCCUGUUUACAAGCUGGAUGCCAGCAGUGAAAAGAACUGCCCGAGGCUGCUUGGAAACCGGGGGGAGCAGGAGCAGAGAGCUCAAAAGCCCCCCUGCAGCCCCGGCCACCCCCUGCUCCUACCCACACCCUCCCACCCUUUUUCCUCGGGCCAGCGGCCCUACAGGUGGGGAAGGACCCGCUGAGGGCUGCGUCUCCUCGGCGGCUCAGCCUUGCGUGCUGUAACAAUAAUUACCCUAAAUUGUUUCUUUUAAUUAGCCUUAUUCC